UACACUAAACUAUACUGCCACCCUAGCCUCCCUCCUCUUUCACGACUCAAUCUCGGCUUCUCUCAGACUUCGUUCUCGCCAUUCCCACUGCCAUCACUCUCUUUCCAGCCUCCUCUCCCUCACAUCGCAGCUCUCCUCCACCUACAGUCUGCAGUCUCCACCCCAUUACGACGGCUCUCCCGACGGUUCCAUCCCUACGGCGUCGCUCUCCACCCCAUCGGCCACACCACCACAUCACAGGCAUAAACCUUCUCUCGUCUCGACCUCUCUCUGAUAUAUCUGCAACUUUGCUUCUUAGUAUACAAACGUGUGCGGAAUUAACAAGGAGCAUUGGAAAAGCUUGCUAUUAAUUGGAAGAGAUUAUCGCAAGGCUCGCGGUCAGGAUCGCACUUAGGUCGUAUAGUCUAUCGCAUGGAACUAGAGGUGUAGAGAACGUCUUGGAAGAUCUUGGUGUGAGUACUCUAGCGAGGACAGGAAGAUCGAAAUAUAUACGAAAAGAUUCAAGGAUUCUUGAUAGGCUACAAGAGCAAGCUAAAUGGAGCACAAUUGAGUAGAUUGAUUGCUCUAUACUCUGCAAGGAGGCUAGAAAUGAUUCUUCUAGUAACUAUGCCAUUGAUCGUGACAAGAUCAUAGGAGAGGCCAUUAAAGACAUGUUUGAGCAAAGAAAAGAGGGCAAACUCAUUGAGAUUGGAACGAAUGACAUUUUGACACAAGUUUUGGGAAUUGCUGAGCACCCAAGUAGAGUUCGAGGCCAAAGUUGGGGUGUAACAUAGAGACUAUUUUCAUAAGCCUGUUGGGAGGGAGGGGUCUAAGUGGCUUGCAGAAAAAACAAAUUGAGUUUUAACAACAAUCCAACAUACCACAUAAAGAGGAGAUUGAGAGUUUGAAAGAAUCGUUCAUGUUGAAGUUUGAAGAGUUAUCAACGAAGAUGGCACAUAUGCAAGCUAACAUUGGUAGUCAGUGUAGCUUUGGUAGCCACUCAUGUAAAUACACUAGAAGUUGAGCACCGAUCCACUCAACCCCAGAAAUUGAUGUACCGAUUCACUCAACUCCACACAUUAAGGCACCGAUUCACUCUACUCCAGAAGUUGAGGCACCGAUUCACUCUACUUCAGAGGUUGAGACACAAAUUGACAUUACCCCUUCGUAUGAGAGAUCCACACCUACUAUUCAUGAUAACCAACCAAAGAUAAAUUCUCUUUUAUUAUUUAAGAAAUGAUAAUUAAACUUAUACUAACUAUUACAUCAUUGCAUAAAGAUGUUAAGUGAAAAUUAUAUGUUGGACAAGGUGGUGAUGUUGUGGCUCUUGGACGGGUGAUGGCUAUGACAGAUGAAGUGCAUGGGGUCAAAUUAGAGUGUGGUAACUAUCGCGUUGUUGUCGAUAAAUGUCUAGAUCAGAGUGAAAAACUACCUUGCUCAAAAGUUGGGGAUGAGAUGACCCUUGUGGUUCAUGCACUCAACAGUUUUGUUGCAUGGCUAUCACUUUUUAUCAUUACUUGUGAUGAUGACCAGGUAACAAAAGCUGCAAAAGAGAAUUUGAUUUCUUAUGUGGUUUUUUUAUCUAAAUUAUUCUAUGUUUAUUGUGAAGGAAUCCAAGAUACUAAUUAUAGUUAGUACAUGCACUUACAUAGUUAAGGCAAGGAUACUUACAUAGUUAAGACAAUGGUGUAUUUACAUAGUUAAUGCAAGAAUUAUACAUCUUGAUCUUGUAAAUUUAGUUUUAUAAUAUAUUGAAUUCUGUUGAU
Long non-coding RNA from Humulus lupulus (European hop), 1745 nucleotides. RefSeq lists it as uncharacterized. The record is from RefSeq and is a predicted model, not a curated record. The transcript has 6 exons. Lineage: Eukaryota; Viridiplantae; Streptophyta; Magnoliopsida; Rosales; Cannabaceae.